RNAcentral lists this ribosomal RNA (490 nucleotides) under uncultured bacterium. Its description in RNAcentral is "partial 16S ribosomal RNA". It matches the Rfam family "Bacterial small subunit ribosomal RNA", at positions 28 to 507 of the family's 1533-position model. The record is from RNAcentral.
GAUGAACGCUAGCUACAGGCUUAACACAUGCAAGUCGCGGGGCAGCAUGGGGGUUGCUUGCAAUCCCCGAUGGCGACCGGCGCACGGGUGAGUAACGCGUAUCCAACCUGCCCUUCACCACGGGAUAACCCGGCGAAAGUCGGACUAAUACCGUAUGUUGUCCAUUGACGGCAUCCGAAUUGGACGAAAGGGUUGGCGGUGAAGGAUGGGGAUGCGUCCGAUUAGCUGGACGGCGGGGUGACGGCCCACCGUGGCGACGAUCGGUAGGGGUUCUGAGAGGAAGGUCCCCCACACUGGAACUGAGACACGGUCCAGACUCCUACGGGAGGCAGCAGUGAGGAAUAUUGGUCAAUGGGCGUAAGCCUGAACCAGCCAAGUAGCGUGCAGGAUGACGGCCCUAUGGGUUGUAAACUGCUUUUAUGCGGGGAUAAAGUGGCCCACGUGUGGGUUUUUGCAGGUACCGCAUGAAUAAGGACCGGCUAAUUCCGUG